CCCCCGGGCGCAGGUCCGGCUGGGGAGCGGAACGGCAUGGGAGGGCCGGCCGCAGCGGGUGACAGCCCCGUACGCGAACCCAGACCGGACGGCGCGACGCGGUCCCUGAGUAGGGCCGGGCACGUGAAACCCGGUCCGAACCUGGGUGGACCACCAUCCAAGCCUGAGUACUACCCUGUGACCGAUAGCGCACCAGUACCGUGAGGGAAAGGUGAAAAGCACCCCGGGAGGGGAGUGAAACAGUACCUGAAACCGUGCGCCCACGAGCAGUCGGAGCAACUUUACGUUGUGACGGCGUGCCUUUUGUAGAAUGAGCCAGCGAGUCGCUGGCGCGGGGCGAGGUUAACCGAAAGGGAGCCGGAGCGAAAGCGAGCCUUAACAGGGCGACUUGAGUCCCGCGCCGCGGACGCGAAGCCGGGUGAGCUAUCCGUGGGCAGGCUGAAGCGGGGGUAAGACCCCGUGGAGGGCCGAACGCACGUCGGUUGAAAACGGCGGCGAUGACCUGCGGAUAGGGGUGAAAGGCCAAUCAAACCCGGAGAUAUCUCGUUCUCCCCGAAAUAGCUUUAGGGCUAGCGUCGCGCGUUCACCGCCGGAGGUAGAGCACCGGAUGGACGAGGGGGCUUCGCCGCCUACCGAAUCCAACCGAACUCCGAAUGCCGGCGGCCCAGAGCGCGGCAGUCAGAGCAUGUGGGCUAAGCUGUGUGCUCGAGAGGGAAACAGCCCGGACCGCCCGCUAAGGUCCCCAAGUUCCAGCCGAGUGGCAAAGGAUGUGCGUCCGCCCAGACAACCAGGAUGUUGGCUUAGAAGCAGCCAUCCAUUCAAAGAGUGCGUAACAGCUCACUGGUCGAGUGGACAUGCGCCGACAAUACACGGGGCUAAGCUGGACACCGAAGCGGCGGGAUUUUAAUUCAUUAGAAUCGGUAGGGGAGCUUCCCAUGGGCGGAGAAGCCGGAGGGCGACCGACGGUGGAGCGCAUGGGAGUGAGAAUGCUGGCAUGAGUAGCGAGAGACGAGAGAGUAACUCGUCCGCCGUGAACCCGAGGUUUCCUGGGCAAGGCUAAUCCUCCCAGGGUCAGUCGGGGGCUAAGGCGAGGCCGGGAGGCGUAGCCGACGCGCAGCAGGCAGACAUUCCUGCACCGCGCACGCGGCGCUACGACCGACGGGGCGACGGAUGGGGGUGGCUCGGCGGGGUUCUGGACGUCCCCGUGAUGGAGCGCGGCCCGCGGACCAGGGAAAUCCGGUCCGCACGAGGGCGAGGCUCCGGACGAAGCGAUCAAGCGAAGCGAGUGAGCCCGAGGUCCCUAGAAAAACCCCUAGGCAGGCGCGUGCGCGCCCGUACCGCAAACCGACACAGGUGGGUGGGUAGAACAUACCGAGGCGAUCGGGUCAACCAUGGUCAAGGAACUCGGCACAAUGGCCCCGUAACUUCGGGAGAAGGGGUGCCCGCGCGUACGUGAACCGGCUCGCCCGGGGAGCGGAGGCGGGCCGCAGUGGAGAGGCCCAAGCGACUGUUUACCAAAAACACAGGACUCUGCAGAAGCCGCAAGGCGACGUAUAGGGUCUGACGCCUGCCCGGUGCCGGAAGGUCACGCGGAGGAGUUAGCGCAUCGCGCGAAGCCCCGAAGCCAAGCCCCGGUAAACGGCGGCCGUAACUAUAACGGUCCUAAGGUAGCGAAAUUCCUUGUCGGGUAAGUUCCGACCUGCACGAAAGGCGCAACGACUUGGGCGCUGUCUCGACCAUGGACCCGGUGAAAUUGCACUGGUCGUGAAGAUGCGACUUACCCGCGGAAGGACGGAAAGACCCCGUGAACCUUCACUGCAGCUUGGCAUUGGCCGCUGGUCCCGCGUGUAGAGGAUAGGCAGGAGGCGAAGAUCCGGAGGCGCCAGCCCCCGGGGAGCCGCCCUUGGAAUACUGCCCUCGCGCGACCGGCGUCCUAACCCGAGGCCGUCAACCGGCUCGGGGACCGUGCCAGGCGGGCAGUUUGACUGGGGCGGUCGCCUCCUAAAGGGUAACGGAGGCGCGCGAAGGUCCGCUCGGGACGGUCGGCAACCGUCCUUUUGAAUGCAAGAGUACAAGCGGGCUUGACUGCGAGGCCCACAAGCCGAGCAGGUGCGAAAGCAGGCUCUAGUGAUCCGGCGGCCCCGAGUGG
Molecule: ribosomal RNA, 2149 nt
Filed under: human gut metagenome
Description: bacterial LSU rRNA
Rfam family: Bacterial large subunit ribosomal RNA
Source: RNAcentral